This is an RNA transcript of Trichechus manatus latirostris (Florida manatee), 9832 nucleotides long. It is a transcript of the gene named zinc finger protein 3, with no coding region annotated. NCBI's taxonomy places the organism in Eukaryota, Metazoa, Chordata, Mammalia, Sirenia, Trichechidae. The transcript has 5 exons. The record is from RefSeq and is a predicted model, not a curated record.
AGGGCGGGAAGGGAGCUCCGGUUCUGCUUUUUUUUACUUAAAGUGCCCAUCUUGAGCCUUUAAAAGUUCCGGUAGAGGCGUCUUCCGUUCUCUUUGAAGCAACUGAUGACAGCGACCCUAACUUAAUAGUUCUCCGAGGCACUUUUAUUUGAUGUUAACACAAUUACUCGCCCGGGCAGGAGAGGCGAUCCAUUUUUACUUGGGUCCAAGGAUCAGAGAAUCAGUAGUUCUAUGAAGUGUGCAGUUAGAACUAGAUCUGGGGCGGGGAAGGGGGUGUGCAAACUCAAUUUCCAAAGAUAGUCCCGCAGGAGCCCAAUAAAUGGAGUCUUUUAGGAGGAGUGAUUCAACUGUCUCUGGCAGUGGCUCCCAUUUUUCCACUGUGUUCGAACCCCAAUUUGGUCUACUUCAAAAGUGUGAUUGAACACAGACCAGUGUUUACUCUUUGAGGGUGUAUGUUGCAGGAGGAUGAGUAGUAUGAUGAACCUGAAAUCUGGAACAAUGAGGGAAACUAGAUGUUAUUUAUCUUCAAGAAGAGAAGUCUCUGGAGGGUGAGCAUCACUUGGUUUCAAGUUCUUGAUGAACAGUCCUGUAAAAGGAGCAGAUUCUAUCAUUGAAGAUUCAAGGGGAUAGAUUCUCAGUUUACGGUCUGAAGACCUCUCUAAUGGCUGAUAGUGGAACAUGUUUCCUGCUGAAGUAGUUUGAGAGUAUCUAGCAAGUUAGCUAGCUGAACCUGAGGGUCUUGAGGAGUUUCUUACACAGAAUGGGAGGUGUUCUAGCUCUCUCUAUAGGUGCAGUGCAAAUAGACCAGUUGUGGUGGUCUUCAUCCAUAUAUUUUUUUAGCAUAUGAUAGUUAGUUCUUUUUUUUUUCUUUCUUUAUCUCUAAAUAUCUAGGUUAGAAAUGAAGUUUACAUGAAUAUUUUAAAUUUCCUUUUUUUAAAAAAAUCAUGCAGCUUUGGCAUCAGCGAAGGUCAGAAUUCCCAGAAACUUGAACAGAGGCUGCCCAAUUUCCAGUAACUGCUACUUUGGCUUAGAGGACUAACCCCAAAGAAGAAAGACUCCAGCAGCUCUUCCUUCUUCAAAAAUUCCUGCCUUUUCUGAUAAAGACAGCUUUGGGAAUGAGAUGUUGGCAGCUGCACUCCUAAAGGCCAAGUCCCGGGAGUUGGUGACAUUUGAGGAUGUAGCUGUGUACUUUAUCCGGAAGGAGUGGAAGCGUUUGGAACCUGCUCAGAGGGACCUCUAUAGGGAUGUGAUGCUGGAGAAUUAUGGAAAUGUCUUCUCACUGGAUGGUGAGAAUGAUCAAGAAAUUUCUGAAGAUACAGGAUCACAUGGGGUGCUGUUGGGAAGAUUCCAAAAGGGUAUUUCUCAGGGUCUUAAGUUUGAAGAAGCCUAUGAACAAGAAGUCGGUCUAAAGCGGCAGCUGGAGAACUCUGGAGAAAGACUGAAUAGGAAGAUAAAAGAUUUUGGUCAAGUGACAGCUGAGGAAAAGCUGACCCCCAUGAGAGAUAGAAGUGAGAAAUACAGUGAUUUUGGGAAUAGCUUUACUGUGAGUUCCAACCUUAUUUCACAUCAGAGACUUCCUAUGGGAGACAGACCCCAUAAGUGUGAUGAAUGUAGCAAGAGCUUUAAUCGCACUUCAGACCUUAUUCAACAUCAGAGAAUUCACACUGGGGAAAAACCCUAUGAAUGUAAUGAAUGUGGGAAGGCCUUCAGCCAGAGCUCACAUCUUACUCAGCAUCAGCGAAUUCACACUGGUGAGAAACCUUAUGAAUGUAAUGAUUGUGGGAAGACCUUUAGUUGUAGCUCUGCUCUUAUUCUACAUCGAAGGAUCCACACUGGGGAGAAACCUUAUGAAUGUAAUGAAUGUGGAAAAACCUUUAGUUGGAGUUCCACCCUUACUCAUCAUCAGAGAAUCCACACUGGAGAGAAACCCUAUGCUUGCAAUGAAUGUGGGAAGGCCUUCAGUAGGAGUUCUACCCUUAUUCAUCAUCAGAGAAUCCACACUGGAGAGAAACCUUAUGAAUGUAAUGAGUGUGGGAAGGCCUUUAGCCAGAGCUCACACCUCUAUCAGCACCAGAGAAUCCACACUGGAGAGAAGCCCUACGAAUGUAUGGAAUGUGGAGGAAAGUUUACUUAUAGUUCAGGCCUUAUUCAGCAUCAAAGAAUCCACACAGGGGAGAAUCCCUAUGAAUGUAGUGAAUGUGGGAAAGCCUUCAGGUAUAGCUCAGCUCUUGUUCGCCAUCAGAGAAUUCACACUGGAGAGAAGCCUUUGAAUGUAAUGGGUAUGAACAAAAGUUCUCCCAGAGUUACUGCUGAAUUAAAUAUCAAAGAGUCUACGUGAAAGAGAGCCCACACCUGUUUGCCUCACUUCUGAAUCUGAAGAGCUCCUGCCUUACUAUAUAAGUACAAACAGCUUAGGAUAUAUCCCUUCCAACUCAGACCUUUCAUUGUAGCAACUGGCACUUUGGGAAAAUUAGCCAGCAGUGAUUAGCAACCUAGUGAAUUUCCCCAGAAUGAUACCAGCCUUAAAAAAUUAUGAGGCAGGCAGCAGACGAAGUGCUGGGAGUAGAGGGAAGCUCUGGAACUAAUCACCCAUUUUGGAAGGGAGUUUGCACUAAACCAUUUUUCUUACACCAGAGGAGCCUUUCUUUCCAAGGUGAGCAUGGAAGCACAGUAGGAAAAAAAUUCCAAGGAUUCCUCUAGUUGGAGUUAACAGCACAGAAGGCAGUGGAAAGAACGUUCUGAGUCCUGUUAUUUGCUGGGGAGGAAAUGGAAGCUGUAUUUCAAAGCCACCGUUCCCAAUCCAGCUUUAAGCUUUGAUAAGGAAUGUGCUAUUUUGUUUCAUAAUUCUAUUAAUUAUGAAAAAUUGGCACUGAGAUAUGUAUUUUAUUGAGGGAAGGCAAAGACCCCUACAAAGGUAUUCUGUGAUAUCUGUAUCCUUUAGGGCCCCUGGAGCAGCUAGACCAAGUUUCUAACAGCAAUCUUAGCCAUAUUGUGAGAGGACCCUUUGCCCUUCCCUGUUGUAAUGUGACUGGGAAAUCCAACUAAUCAUUGAGUCUAGCCUGAGAGUAGACUGUCAAAAGCAGUUAGCAUUGGCCUCUGUAUCCUUUCUUCCUCCCUUUUUUUCUCACCACGCCUGUGAUGAACGUGAUUUAAUCCAAACCCCUAGUUUCUGAGGAUGCUUUUAAGGAGCUUAAGUAGCCCUGCCCUCUGUCACGUGUGACAUCUGGCCCCGGACCUCUCCUGACUCCACCUCUGACUCUUCAGCAGCCGAGGAUUAAUACACAUAAAGAGUAAAGUCCCAGAGAAGGAAGGCUCUGGCCUAAGCCUGGCAGCAGGGCUCUUUGCUGGGUUAGAAUGGAGCUCCCUGAGUUUUCCUGACUGAAGGGAUGAUCUUCCAUUAUGUUUUCCCAAUCCUACUCAUCCUGUAGUAUAAAUGAAGUGCACUAUUAAACAGAAUAGUUUUUCAGAAGGAGAGAUUGAGUGUGUUUUUGUCCAGGGGCCAAGUUUAUUUCAGUUAAAGCAGGAAACAGUGACUAUUAAUGGAAUCUUAAAAUUAACCUUAAAAUUUUUUUUUAUUGGCAACAUUUCUUUUAGUCACAAACAUGUGGCUUCCUUUUCCCUAAAGACUGCAUCGUAUUCCUCUAGAUACUGCCACAGACUCUGUCAGUCAUUUACACAGUCACUCUACAAAAUCAAUUUUGACCUCAACUACUCAGAGUAAAACCAGAGUUCACAGUUAAAGGGUACAGUCCCCCACAAGACUGCCCUUCAGACACCAGCCACAAGUUCAGGGGUUCCCAGGACACCCUUCCCAUGGCUGCCUCCAGAUUCAGGGGUUCUCAGUACCCACUCAGGUUUGAUGAUUUGCUAGAAUGACUCAUACAACCAGGAAAGCGCUAUACUUUUAUAGUCUUAAAGCAAAAAGACACAAAAAGAGCCAACCAAAGGGAAGAGACACAGGGUGAGAGGAGGUUCUAAACAGCUUCCUUGUCCUCUCCCCAUGGAGUCAGAACACAUCAACCUCUUGGCACAUCAGUGUACAAAGAACAUCAUCAGUCUUACCCAAGCUUUGGUGUCCAGAGUUUUUAUUGGGAUUUUCAUUAUGAGGGCAUGGUGGAUUGAAUCAUUGGCCACAUUAUGGAACUCAAAAUCUCCCCUUCCCCAGAGGUUGGGCUAAUACGUGACGGUGGGUCCUUCUGGUGUGGCUGACCCCCACCUUGGGCCAUCUCAUCAGCGUAAACUAUCACUGUGGUCCAGGAUUGUCCGUAAAUAAUAAACACUGCAGUUACUUGGGAAAUUCCAAGGGUUUAGAGGGUUCUCCCAGGAACCAGGGACAAAGGCCAAAUUCUUUGGGUAAGUUAAUUCUUCACUCCCUACACUCCUGUCUCUAUACCCAUUUUUGGGCUUUGUGAACUACAUGUCAUUCUGUGUAGUACAAUACUUCAGACCAACACCUAAAACUAGGAAGGUGUUACUGGGCAUGUGAUUGCUGACAGAGUACUUGGUUGUUGGGUAGCAACGGGCGUAUUUAGACUUCCUGAUUUGGUUGGUAGGAGGAUGUUACAGCCACGGAGAAGGCUAGGGUGAAAGUGUAAUGGAGAUGAGACAAGGUCUGGAACUCUGGCCUCUGACAUUGUGAUUGACCACCUAAUAUAUGUUUUAAUUUCUUAAAGCUAUAAUGAAGUCAGUCAUUUUGGCUUUUCAUCGACAUUCAGUACAUACUUGCAGAUUGACUUUCUCAAAGUGUGGACCAUGAACGGCCCAUGUUAGAAUCACUGGGCUGCUUAUUGGAGUCCCUGAGUGGUGCAGAUGGUUAACUGAAAGGUUGGUUUGAGUCCACCCAGAGCCACCUCGGAAGAAAGGCCUGGCAGACUGCUUCCCCAAAAUCAGCUAUUGAAAACCCACUGGAGAACAGUUAUGUGAUACACAUGGGGUCGCCAUGAGUCAGGAUCAACUCAGCGGCAAUUUUUUUAAUUUUUUUAGGCUGCUUAUAAGUAAUGCAGUUUUCUGAGCCCCAAACCAGACCUAGAAAAUAAUUUCUGGAGAUAGAGUCUAAGAAUUUACAUUGGGAAGGAAGAAAUAGGAUAGUUACAGAAAAUUUCUAUGAGGAGGUAAAGUUGAACUAGGUCUUAGAAGAUAAAGAGAUGGGGGUUCCUGGCAGGACAGUUUGAAUGGACCUGAGCAUGGCCGCUUAGGUGGAAGCUGAGGAAAAGACUACUAGACAGGUAAAACGUACAUGAUGAAUGUUCACUAAAUGUAGAGGAUCAUCCCCUUCUCUGCUCUGAUGCUUAAGUCAGUACUGGACAGACUGUGAAGCCUCCACUGAAAAGACAAAAUGCAGCCUGAGACUGAUCAGGUCCAUUGCAUGAAAAAUAAGAGGUUUCUUUUUGUUUUUUAAAUAACUUUGAAACUACUUCUAUGACAUUUUACUCACCUGAUUCUCCUAGCUGACCAUUCCCAUUUCCCAUAAUGAUUCCCCUUCUCUCAAUCUAUGCAUUGUUGCUCCGUCAUGGUGUCAAGUUUCUGUCUCCUCUUUCUAUACCAUUAUCAUUGGAACCCAUUUACUUCCAUGGCUUCAGCUAUCACCUCUGUGCAAGUAAGUUAAAUCUGCAUUUGUGGUACAGAUCUUUCCCAAGCUCCAAUCUUGAGUCUCCAGCAGACUGCAUUUACAGUUAGACUUUAAAAUUAUGUGUUUAAAAUCAGAUUCAUCUCUCCCAUAAGCUGUCUCCCUCUCAAAAUUUCUACAAACCUCUCAGGCUCAAAACUUAAGUUUUCUUUGUUGUCAUCCUCCUACAUUUAACCAUCCAUCAGGUUCUGGGCAGGAUCAGUAAACGUAGUGGAAUGACAAGAGAUGGUUGUCAGAGGGGAAGUUUUCAGAGUUUGACGUUAUGGGGGAGGUGGGAGGUCCCAGUGUAGAUACUAAUUAAUAGUAGGUAACAUGUCAUAUGCUAUGUGCUAGCCUUGCCAGGCCCUGUUCCAAUUUGCUCAUAACAAUCUACCUAUAAAGUGUUGGUAUUAUCCCCGUUUUAGAGAUGAGGAAACAGCAUUGAACUUGCCCAAAGGAUUUGACAAUGGAAGACCUCCCCAGGAUGCUGCACUUGGUGGAAGGCUGCAUGAUGUAGCCUUCAGGUGGAGAUGGGGAGGUGACAGAAGUAUCAAUAAUGGAGUGGCGGCAGUGAAGAGAACCUAUCGAUGAAUUGUUUCUUCUUAAUGAAAAGAUUGUUUUUAAAAGCUCCCCAAAGAUAUAUUAUUUUCUUCAUAAAUUGUUUAUAAAGAGUUUAAAUUUUUUAUACUUCAAACAAAUUAAGGCAAGCCUGUCAGGUGCAUCACUUUAAAUAUGUCUGUAAUGAAGAACUGAAGAUUUGGAAAUGAGUAAGAAACUACAUGGAUGAUUUUCUACAUACAGAGAUAAAUAUGGCCAUCAGAAUGGUUGUUUCAGGAAUGACAGAAAGUCUUGCUGUCUUCCUCCAUAAGCAUGUUUUUCCAUUUAUGUUCCCUGCUUUGGUUGCUGACAUCACCAACUUCCCAGGCAGCCAAGCCAGAAACCUGGGAAUUGUUCUGGAUGCCUUGUUUCUCUUCAACUUCUCACUCCUAUAGCUUUUCAAUGUCUCUAACCUGUCCUUUCUUCCCCAUCCCUGUGACUACUGCAAUGGCCUAGGCCAUCUUUAAGUCUUUCCUGGACUUUGGAACCAGCCUCACAGUAGUCUCUUAGCUUCCAAUUCCUUUACCCUCCAAUUCAGCCUUCAAACCUAUGCAUGAAUUCUCUCUCUAAAAUGCCAAUUGGAUUACCAAAAAUAACCCAUUGCCGUCAAGUCCAUUCCAACUGAUAGUGACCCUAUAGAACAGAGUAGAGCUGCCCCAUAGGGUUUCCAAGGAAUGGCUGGUAAUUCAAACUGCCAAACGUCUGGUUAGCAGCCAAACUCUUAAUCACUGCGCCACAAGGGCUCCAAUUGGAUUACACCACCUCUCAAAACCUUUUAGUGACUCCUCAUCUCCUAGUCCAAAUUCUAUAUCAUGACACACAGGGCUUUUCAUUUACCUCUUAGCACUCCUCUUACCCCGACUCUCACCCUUUUUCCCUCCCAAAUACUUUAUACUGGAGCAAUGCAAAACUACUACAGUCACAUGGACAUCAAUGCUGUUUAAUGUCUCUGUGCCCUUGCAAAUGCAGUUCCUGAAUGCCCUCCCAUCCUUGUCCACCUAGCAAACUCCUGUUCAUCUCUGAAACCUCAUCAUCAGCUUCACCUUCUCUGUGAAGCCUUUUCAGGUCAUUGUGCAUGCCACCCUCCAUCCCCACCAAGUUAAUUUUCUCCGAGCUGCCUCUGCAUCUUGCAGAUACGCUCAUUAUUGUGCUUAUCCCCCCAUCCAUUACUUACUAUUUGUUUAUACAUCUGACUCCCUCACUAUGGUGUUUUUUCAUUUUUACGUUCCUAUACUUUUCUACCACAAAUAUGUGUUGCUUUCAUAAUCAGAAAAAAAAUCAUUAAGAAAACAAAGGUAAUACGAAGUAACAUCCAUUGAGCACUUUCUGUGUCAGGCAUUAUUCUAAGUGCUUUAUCAAUUCCAUAUUGUUGCCCCUUUGUCCAGGAAAGAAGAAAGGAAGGGGGAAUGGGGAGGGGAGUUUACAAGGUGCACAGUAAAUGGUGGCAGUGAAGUUAAAUGAGUUUGGAGUCUAAAGCCCUAGUUUUGUCUACCAUACCACAUUACCAGAGGGUAUCCCAAACUCCUUCAGACACAUCCUCUCCUCUCACUGAUUCUUUAAUGUCUUCAGCAGCAAUUCAGCAAGUAAAUAAAUGCUUGUACUGUAGGAGAUACAAAGAUGGAUGAACUAUGGUUCCUGCACUGAAGGAAACUCCAGUCUAAAGAGAGACAAAGCCAGUAUUGAUAAUACAAGACAAUGAGAUGCCAGGAAAGGUACAACAAUCAUAAUGAUAGCUGAUGUUCACAGACUGCUUACCUAUGUGCCAGGCAGUGUUCUAAGUACUAUAUACGCAUUAACUUGUUUUUACAACAAUCACAUAUGGUAAGUGUUCAUACUAUUACUAACCCUGUUUUAUAGGUGAAAAAACUGAGUCACAGAGAGGUUAAGUAACUUGCCCAAUGUUACAGAGCUAGUAAGUAGUAGAACAGGGAUUCAGACCUACGCAGUCUGGUUCCAGAGUUUGAACUCUUCAUCACUCCACUGUACUGCCUUUCUACAAAUACAAUGGAGGAAUUAAGAAGAAAGCAAGCUUAUGUUCUUCUUGGGAGGGGCAAGGCACACGGUGAUCACAAAAGGCUUUAUUGAGGAAAUCACGUUAAAGCUAAAUUAAGAACAUGGAUAGGUAGAAUACAAAGUCAUGGGUGGGAAUCUUCCUCUGGACUGACAAAAGAUAGGUGCAGAAAUAGGUAUUCAGUUUCACUCAGGAAAAUAAAUAUGAAAUACAUAUUAGAUGCCAGACAUUGUGUCAGGGAAAGGCAGGCAAUGGCUAAAAGCAGGUGAGGGAAAGAAGAGCAGAUCUUGGAGGGCGGUGAAUGUCUUUGUGAGUCUUCUAGGAGCUGAGGUGAAAGCUUUCAAGCCAUGAAUAAAAAGGAAACCUGUGUGUAAGACAUGUUAGCAACAGAAAACCCAGCGAAGGAUCUAUUGUGGGUGAGUUAUGAAGCCAUAAGGGACUAGACCAGGGUGAAGGCAGUGAGAAUGGAGAAGAAAGAAUGAAUCCAGGAGACUUCAGGGAAUUGAAAUUGCCUCUGAAUCAAGAGAAGCAUCAACAGAUGAAUAAGGAGGAGGACCUGGCGACAAUUCCAUUGUGAGUGGGUGACUCCCUUCUGUUCUUACAGUUUCUAUCCAAACUGUGACGUAUAAUAAGGAUAUGCAAGAUGGCAAAUAAUCAGUACCCUAGUUUGGAUGAGGUAGAGUAAUUAGAAUAUAAUUUAAGAUAUUAUCCAUCAACUUUUAUAAAUGAUUAAUAGUUUGGCUGCUGUAACAGAGACCCAAAAUAACACUGACUUAAACUUUAAGACAGAAGUGUAUUUUUCUUUCAGGUAAGUGUAUUUCUCAAUCUUGAGGAAAAUAGUUCAGGAUUGAUAUGGUGGUUCUGUGCCAUGAGCAUCGUGCCAGGGACCUUCCGUCUUAUUGACCACCAUUCCUAUGGUGUUGCCUUGUCCACAUGGUCCAAGAUAGUUUAUUCCCAUAUCCACAGUCCAUACAACAGGAUUGAGAAAGCAAGGAAGAAGGGUAUGUUCCCUCCCUCUUUAAGGGCACAAUGCAGAAAUUACAACUAUCACUCACCAUUGUCCAGAACUUAGUCACAUGACCAUCCUACUUACAAGGGAGCCUGGGGAAUAGUCUUCAUUCUGGGCCAAGAUCAAGGACUCGUAUGCUAUGUGAGAGAAAGGGAAGAAUGGAUAUUACAGGAAAAUGAGCAGCCUCUGCCACAUAGGCUGGAGCUUUUCUCAGGAUGAACCCUAGGUAUCUGUGCUGCUCAGAUCUGACAACACUGGUGUAUGAAGUUGUGAAUUCAGUUCACUCAGUACUUAGCAUUUACUGGGUGCCAGGCUCAGUGCAAGACUUAGGAAUCAAUUAUGAAUCAGAUGUAGUCCCUGCCAUCCAGGAGCAUAUGCUGUAGUAGGGGAGAGUUUCAUAAACACAAGUUUUCAAUGAUGGUAGGAAGUAUAAUAAGGAUAUGCAAACAGAGAGACACCUAACCCAGCUUAGGAGUUUAGGGAGUAGAUCAGAGCUUGUCUUAGCCUGUAUUCUCUACGGAAGCAAAACCAGUGAAGUGUGUGUGUGUGUGUAUAUAUAUAUAGAGAGAGAGAGAAAGAGAGAGAGAUUGAUUUAUGUCAAGGAAAUGGC